CAAUAAUGUUCUUCAGAUCAAAAAGCUCCAUGUGGUAGGCAGAAAUUUGCGCCCCCACCCGCCAAAACCCCUGCUGUCAAAGCUGUUCCAUCCUAAUGGUAAGAACCUGUGAAUAUGUUUCCUUACAUUGCAAACUGUGAUUAAGGUUAGGGACCUUGAAGUGAGAAGAGUAACCUGAAUUACCCAGGUGAGCCCAAUUUAAUCACAUUAAUUCUUAAAAGUGGAAAAGUUUUUCCAGCUGUGGUCAGAGAGACUCAAGAUGGCAGGCAGAGGAUUCCACUUUGACCACGCCCAGUGGUUGCUGGUUCUGAGAUGCAGGGGGCUGUGUGCAAGGAACUGAAUUCUGCCAACAACCUGAAUGAACGAGGCAUUGGAUCCUUGUCUAGAGCCUUCAGAAAGGGACACAGCAGUGCCAUCACCUUGAUGUUGGCUGGGAAGAAUCUCUAUCUUGCCCAUUUUACAAUCAGUGGGAAGAACAGGAGCUUUGGAGUCAGGAUAAAAUGCAUACUCCUGAGAAUAUAGUCACCUGGAUUCUGUCCACUUUUUUGUUUCCAUUCAGCCGUUCUUCACACACACUAUGGAAGCCAGUCUUGGUAAUUUGAACAGCUUGGAACAGAAGAUUUAUGGAGGACAUGAAUAUACGAAGAUACUGAAGAAGACUAAUGCACCACAUUUAUGUAGUCUGAAGUUUAUUGCUGCUCUCAUUAAACAGCUGGCCGGAACUAAGCUGAAAGAGUUUUUCUGACUGCUGUGAAAAUGUGUUUGACCCUUUAGGGUCAAUCUCAAAACUGGUUAGGAAGCAGCAUUCUAUGUCACUCUUUCUCAUAUUUAAUAAUGCACAGAACUCAUAUAAAAAUAAAUAGCUUCUGCAAUGUUGACUAUGUUUGUUUGUUCAGACCUCUAUAACAAAAUAUCACAAAUUAGGUAGCUUAUAAACAAAGGCGCCUUCUCUAUUUCUGAUUUCUUGGUCAGCAUAUCCAGAGGUGUAUUGAUUUUGUUGAUAUUCUCAAAUAAACAGCUUUAGGUUUUAUUGAUGUAGUUUAUUACUUAUCCCGUAUCUAUGUAAUCGAUUUCCACAAUUUAAUUUUUUUCCUCAUGCUUACUUUGGUCUUAACUUGCUCUUCUUUGUCUUAUAUCCUGAGAUAUAAGCAUAAAGUUUUAGUUUUAGACUCUUCUUUUCUAAUGAAAGCAUUUAAAACUGUAAAUUGCCCCCUAAGAAUUGUUUCAACUUUAUAUCACAAAUUUUGAUAUGUUCUAAGUUUUUUAAUCACUCAAUAUUAUCUAAUUUUCAUUGUCAUUUUUUAUUUGACUCAUGCAUAGGUUAAAAGUAUUUAGAGCUCCUUUCAAAUUGUUGUUAAUCCCCAAAUUAAUUCUCUUUUGCUCAGAGAACAUACUCCAUAUGAUUUCUAUCUUUUAAAUUUAUUGAAACUUAUUUAUGAACUAAAAUAUGUUCUAUAUUGGUUGAUAUCCCAUUUGCACUUAAAAAGAAUGUAUAUCAUGCAAUUUAUGUGGCAAUUAGGUGAAGGUGGUUUGUAUAUUCCUGCAGAUUGCUUUGGUCUAGUUUUUUUAUCAGUUACUUAACCUAGUCUCUUAAAAUUUCCAACUAUAAUUAUGUAUAUCUCCCUUUAGUUCUGUCACUUUUUAUUUCAUAUAUUUUAAAGCUCUAUAGGCAUAUCUAUAUUUAUUAUUAUUAUGUCUUUGGGAUAUACAGAAAUUUUAUCUUGAUUAAAUGCUCUGUAUCAUUGUUUCUAAUAUUAAGAGUAUUUAAGCUUUAUUUUUCUGAUAUUAAUUUAACUAAUCCAAAUUUUUUUAUGUUUUUUUGUUUGCUAGGAAUUUCCCCCUUUUAGCAUUCAAUUUACUUAAGUAUGUAUGGUUGAAAUGUAUAUCCUGUAGCAUAGUUUGUUCUUGCUUUUUUUUUAACCACAUUUCAGCCUUUUGAUUAGAAUGUCUAGCCCAUUUAUAUUUAAUGUAAUCAAUGAUACAUUCGUAUUUAUUUGUCUGACAUUUUAAUAUUUGUUUUCCCUUUUGCUUUCAGUAUUGUUUUGUUUCUGCUCCUCUGUUUCUUCUUUCUUAGCUUAUUUUGUGUUAAUCAAAAAAUUUAAUAUUCCUUUUUAAUUCCUUAUUGACAUUCUAGCUAUAUUCAUUUACAUCAAUAUUUUUAUGGUUAUUUUGGGGAUUGAAAUAUGCCUUUUUAACUUGUUGCAAUCUCGUUACAAUUAAUAUUGAAUUACAUCUGGUAAAAUAUUGGAAAU
Molecule: long non-coding RNA, 2252 nt
Filed under: Equus caballus (horse)
Lineage: Eukaryota; Metazoa; Chordata; Mammalia; Perissodactyla; Equidae
Description: lncRNA (ENSECAG00000040338.3)
Source: RNAcentral